UGGGGGAUAUUGCACAAUGGGCGAAAGCCUGAUGCAGCGACGCCGCGUGGGGGAUGAAGGCUUUCGGGUUGUAAACCUCUUUCAGUAGGGACGAAGCGCAAGUGACGGUACCUGCAGAAGAAGCACCGGCUAACUACGUGCCAGCAGCCGCGGUAAUACGUAGGGUGCGAGCGUUGUCCGGAAUUACUGGGCGUAAAGAGCUCGUAGGCGGUUUGUCACGUCGUCUGUGAAAUCCUAGGGCUUAACCCUGGACGUGCAGGCGAUACGGGCUGACUUGAGUACUACAGGGGAGACUGGAAUUUCUGGUGUAGCGGUGGAAUGCACAGAUAUCAGGAAGAACACCGAUGGCGAAGGCAGGUCUCUGGGUAGUAACUGACGCUGAGGAGCGAAAGCAUGGGUAGCGAACAGG
Molecule: ribosomal RNA, 409 nt
Filed under: bacterium
Lineage: Bacteria
Description: partial 16S ribosomal RNA
Rfam family: Bacterial small subunit ribosomal RNA
Source: RNAcentral